Long non-coding RNA from Musa acuminata AAA Group (dessert banana), 971 nucleotides. RefSeq lists it as uncharacterized. The transcript has 2 exons. Lineage: Eukaryota; Viridiplantae; Streptophyta; Magnoliopsida; Zingiberales; Musaceae. The record is from RefSeq and is a predicted model, not a curated record.
UCAAACCUCUGACACGUAGAGCUUACGGUCGAGAUCGAGUUCCUCACAUUAAGAUCUAUCUAUCUUUUUCGAGGGAAAUCUCAUUCCAGUCACACGACGUUAUCCAUCUCCCAAAACAUACUGGCAACUUUUCAUACUUCAUGCACCGGAUUGAUGUGUGCUUAGAAUCCACGUUAUCUCGCUCGCCACAAAUGCUCCCAACUUCAGUACGAUCCAUUUCCCCUAUAAAUCUCCUCCGGUUUCUGUGAUCACCGUGCCGCGCCACAGUUUACCGGAUCGAUGAAGCCCGGAAGUCUCCUCUCCCCCCUUCUUCUCGUCCUCUUGUUUCAAGCUUGUCGGUCUGCGUCCAACCAAACCACACUCGGUGGAGCAGACGAGGCUCGCCGACUGCCUCGACUCGACCAGAGCCAGCCGGCUCCAGGUGGCCUCAAUGCGACCGUCGUCUCGAGGGCGGGGAAAGGGGAGUUGGACGCCAUGAGGAGCACGACCCACUCGAAGGGUGGCGGCAGCGGUGGCGGCAGCGGUAGCGGUAGCGGCGCGGGAAAAGGAGGAGGGAAGGGCGUCGGGAGCGGGAAGGGCGAGGGCGGCGGGUCGCAGUCGGUCCGUCAGCCGCGCGACCCGCGAAGCAGCGGGGCGUCGAGGCGGCGGCCGUGCUCGUCUCUCGCGCGGCUCCUCCUCCGUCUGCACCUGUUCUGCCUCCUGCUUUGGUGGUGGUGGUGGUGGUGGUGGUGGUUGUGGCGGUGGUGAAGAAGAAGAAGAAGAAGAAGAAGAAGAAGAAGAAGAAGAAGAAGAAGAAGAAGAAGAAGAAGAAGGCGGAGGAUAGUGAUGAGUUGGUGAUGGUCGAUGCCAUCAAAGAAGAACUGGCUGAUGUUUUUGCUAUCGUUUCCUGAUGUAAAUCAGCCUGGCUUUGUAUGAUUCAUGUUUAUUGUCUCCGUCCGUCAUGACAAACAGAAAAUGGACAGAUUUGUGUU